This 1109-nucleotide ribosomal RNA is filed under the name Bacillus sp. (in: firmicutes). RNAcentral's name for it is "bacterial SSU rRNA". It matches the Rfam family "Bacterial small subunit ribosomal RNA", at positions 1 to 1126 of the family's 1533-position model. The record is from RNAcentral. Lineage: Bacteria; Bacillati; Bacillota; Bacilli; Caryophanales; Bacillaceae.
CAGUAGGGCGCGAGGUAAAAUGAUGCGGGUCUAUACAUGCAAGUCGAGCGGACAGAUGGGAGCUUGCUCCCUGAUGUUAGCGGCGGACGGGUGAGUAACACGUGGGUAACCUGCCUGUAAGACUGGGAUAACUCCGGGAAACCGGGGCUAAUACCGGAUGCUUGUUUGAACCGCAUGGUUCAAAUAUAAAAGGUGGCUUCGGCUACCACUUACAGAUGGACCCGCGGCGCAUUAGCUAGUUGGUGAGGUAACGGCUCACCAAGGCAACGAUGCGUAGCCGACCUGAGAGGGUGAUCGGCCACACUGGGACUGAGACACGGCCCAGACUCCUACGGGAGGCAGCAGUAGGGAAUCUUCCGCAAUGGACGAAAGUCUGACGGAGCAACGCCGCGUGAGUGAUGAAGGUUUUCGGAUCGUAAAGCUCUGUUGUUAGGGAAGAACAAGUACCGUUCGAAUAGGGCGGUACCUUGACGGUACCUAACCAGAAAGCCACGGCUAACUACGUGCCAGCAGCCGCGGUAAUACGUAGGUGGCAAGCGUUGUCCGGAAUUAUUGGGCGUAAAGGGCUCGCAGGCGGUUUCUUAAGUCUGAUGUGAAAGCCCCCGGCUCAACCGGGGAGGGUCAUUGGGAAACUGGGGAACUUGAGUGCAGAAGAGGGAGAGUGGAAAUUCCACGUGUAGCGGUGAAAUGCGUAGAGAUGUGGGAGGAACACCGAGUGGGCGAAGCGACUCUCUGGUCUGUAACUGACGCUGAGGAGCGAAAGCGUGGGGAGCGAACAGGAUUAGAUACCCUGGUAGUCCACGCCGUAACGAUGAGUGCUAGUGUUAGGGGGUUUCCGCCCCCUUAGUGCUGCAGCUAACGCAUAAGCACUCCGCCUGGGGGAGUACGGUCGCAGGACUGAUACUCAAAGGAAUUGACGGGGCCCGCACAAGCGGUGGAGCAUGGUGGUUAGUCCGAAGCACGCGAAGAACUACAGUCUGACAUCUCUGACAUCUAGAGAAUAGACGUCCCAUCGGGGCGGAGUGACCGUGUGCAUGCUGUUCGUCACUUCGUUAUGGAAAUGUUAGUUAAGUCCCGCCACGAGCACAUGAUCAUAGUUGGCAGCAUCA